This 75-nucleotide transfer RNA is filed under the name Pedosphaera parvula Ellin514. It matches the Rfam family "tRNA". Rfam says of the family: Transfer RNA (tRNA) molecules are approximately 80 nucleotides in length. Their secondary structure includes four short double-helical elements and three loops (D, anti-codon, and T loops). Further hydrogen bonds mediate the characteristic L-shaped molecular structure. tRNAs have two regions of fundamental functional importance: the anti-codon, which is responsible for specific mRNA codon recognition, and the 3' end, to which the tRNAs corresponding amino acid is attached (by aminoacyl-tRNA synthetases). tRNAs cope with the degeneracy of the genetic code in two manners: having more than one tRNA (with a specific anti-codon) for a particular amino acid; and 'wobble' base-pairing, i.e. permitting non-standard base-pairing at the 3rd anti-codon position. Lineage: Bacteria; Pseudomonadati; Verrucomicrobiota; Pedosphaerae; Pedosphaerales; Pedosphaeraceae. The record is from Rfam by way of RNAcentral.
CGGGGCGUAGCGUAGGCUGGCUAGCGCGCGUGGUUCGGGUCCACGAGGUCGUGAGUUCAAAUCUCACCGCCCCGA